UGGGGAAUAUUGCGCAAUGGAGGAAACUCUGACGCAGCGACGCCGCGUGAGUGAAGAAGUCUUUCGGGAUGUAAAACUCUGUCAGGUGGAACGAUAAUGACGGUACCACCAAAGGAAGCCCCGGCUAACUACGUGCCAGCAGCCGCGGUAAUACGUAGGGGGCGAGCGUUAUCCGGAUUUACUGGGCAUAAAGGGAGCGUAGGUGGUUAGGUAAGUCAGGUGUUAAAGUCAAAAGCUCAACUUUUGUUCGCACUUGAUACUGCUUAACUAGAGAUCAGGAGAGGAAAGCGGAACUCACAGUGUAGCGGUGAAAUGCGUAGAUAUUGUGAGGAACACCAGUUGCGAAGGCGGCUUUCUGGACUGAUUCUGACACUGAGGCUCGAAAGCGUGGGGAGCAAACAGG
RNAcentral lists this ribosomal RNA (403 nucleotides) under uncultured bacterium. Its description in RNAcentral is "bacterial SSU rRNA". It matches the Rfam family "Bacterial small subunit ribosomal RNA", at positions 355 to 776 of the family's 1533-position model. The record is from RNAcentral.